AAUACAUGGGUAAUCUGCCCUCGAGUUGGGGAUAACCAGUCGAAAGAUUGGCUAAUACCGGAUAAGACCACAAGAUCUGCGGAUCAAGGGGUUAAAGGUUUUUCGCUUGAGGAUGAGCCCAUGUGGGAUUAGCUAGUUGGUGAGGUAAUGGCUCACCAAGGCGACGAUCCCUAACUGGUCUUAGAGGAUGAUCAGUCACACUGGAACUGAGACACGGUCCAG
This 222-nucleotide ribosomal RNA is filed under the name uncultured bacterium. RNAcentral's name for it is "partial 16S ribosomal RNA". It matches the Rfam family "Bacterial small subunit ribosomal RNA", at positions 112 to 334 of the family's 1533-position model. The record is from RNAcentral.